ACUCCUACGGGAGGCAGCAGUGGGGAAUAUUGCACAAUGGGGGGAAACCCUGAUGCAGCCAUGCCGCGUGUGUGAAGAAGGCCUUCGGGUUGUAAAGCACUUUCAGUAGGGAGGAAGGUAGUGUAGUUAACACCUGCAUUAUUUGUACGUUACCUACAGAAGAAGCACCGGCUAACUCCGUGCCAGCAGCCGCGGUAAGUACGGAGGGUGCGAGCGUUAAUCGGAAUUACGUGGGCGUAAAGCGCAUGCAGGCGGCCUGUUAAGUCAGAUGUGAAACGCCCGGGGUCUUAACCGUCGGAAUUGCAUUUGAAACUGGCAGGCUAGAGUCUUGGUAGAGGGGGUUAGAAUUUCAGGUGUAGCGGUGAAAUGCGUAGAGAUCGUGAAGGAA
Molecule: ribosomal RNA, 388 nt
Filed under: uncultured bacterium
Lineage: Bacteria
Description: bacterial SSU rRNA
Rfam family: Bacterial small subunit ribosomal RNA
Source: RNAcentral